AUUGGUUUUUUGUUAUACAGAAAUAACAAAACAUGCCCGAAAAGCUGCUGUGUUGUUCAAUGUACAUGUAACCAGGUCAAAAAUAUCCACCUACGUAUCGCAAUGCUCUCACGUAGGGAAAUAGAGCCUGCGAGAAGAGCCCUGUGGCUUCAGGCUAUGUCGUGGGAGAGUGGGAAAUAGGCUACACGUAGCUAGAUUUGUGGAAAACAUUUAAUCCCAGACUCAUCAUCUCACUGAGAAUCCACCAAUCUAAGAGAAAGCCCCAGCUGAGCCAGAUUACAAUACUGAUUAAACACAACAAUAAUCUCCUCUAAAACGCUUUCACCUUAAUCUGCAUGCGGUCAAGUGCAGGAGACAUCCAAUACAGUCAUGGACGUGGUUAGAUACAUCGGUUUAACAGCUUUUUUGGAACAGAAACCAGACCUACGCAACACUUUUUUUUGUUAUCUCUCUUUCAAUCUGAGAUAGGAACUGAUCAGACCUAUGACGUCUUCUACAGUUCUUCAG
Salvelinus fontinalis (brook trout) is the source of this 507-nucleotide long non-coding RNA. RefSeq lists it as uncharacterized. Lineage: Eukaryota; Metazoa; Chordata; Actinopteri; Salmoniformes; Salmonidae. The transcript is spliced from 3 exons. The record is from RefSeq and is a predicted model, not a curated record.